UACGUAGGUGGCAAGCGUUGUCCGGAAUUAUUGGGCGUAAAGGGCUCGCAGGCGGGUUCUUAAGUCUGAUGUGAAAGCCCCCGGCUCAACCGGGGAGGGUCAUUGGAAACUGGGGGACUUGAGUGCAGAAGAGGAGAGUGGAAUUCCACGUGUUGCGGUGAAAUGCGUAGAGAUGUGGAGGAACACCAGUGGCGAAGGCGACUCUCUGGUCUGUAGCUGACGCUGAGGAGCGAAAGCGUGGGGAGCAAACAGG
Molecule: unclassified non-coding RNA, 253 nt
Filed under: uncultured Bacillaceae bacterium
Lineage: Bacteria; Bacillati; Bacillota; Bacilli; Caryophanales; Bacillaceae
Description: contains 16S-23S intergenic spacer region
Rfam family: Bacterial small subunit ribosomal RNA
Source: RNAcentral